AGUAGCUUUCUGUUCUUAAAUAUGUUAUCCCAGAGGCAUUACUAUCACUCCUGAUUGGCUUGUCCUUGGCCAGAGGCAGGAAGCCCGUCCUGGAGCCAGCUGGCAUUGGCUCCACCAGACAGGGGAAGCUUCUAACAGCUUCUAACAGAAGCCCCCCCCCCCCUACUAAAACCUAGCACAGAAACCCACUAGAUCUGUGGAGCCUACUUACCCUCUUGAGCGUCUUCCUCCACAUGUGAAGCCUUAUUCCACAGUUAUCCCAGUGUCCCCCGAAAAGACUCUGUGAUUCAGAGUCUCUUUGUGAUGCUAGAGUCCAUCUCUGAAGCCUCCUUCUGGGGAAAAGCCCUUGUCCACCUUUGGAGGUUCCUUCCUGUAAGCAGCCUCCAUUCCCUGUGGGAGCCUCCUUCCCCUUUCAAGCCUCCUUGCGCUGUGGUGCCUGAGUCCCUCUUUGAAGCAUCUGUUGUCUGUGAUGCUAGAGUCCCUCUGUGUUGGCAGAGUGCACCUGUGAAGCCUCCUUGCCAUGUUUUGGGUGAGUAUCUGUGAAGCCUCCCUCCUGCGAUGAGCCUCCUCUCCUGUAGAACCUUGUUACCCUCUGAUGCCAGAAUCACUUGUUGAAGCCUGCUUGCCUGGUGAAGGCUCCUUCCCUUGUGAAGAUUCCUUCCCUUGUUUUUCCUUAGCCAGCAUGACCUUCUCUGUCAUUCUUCCAGGUUCUGAGGUUAAAGAUAGUUCGUUGUGCUGAUAUUGCUCAAUUUUACCCAAGAAAUUUUUACAAAGAAAUCCUAAACAUAAUUUUAAUCUUGAGGUAGAAUGUGGAAACUUUAUGGAACAUAGCAUCACAAGACUGUAAGUGGAGCACCACUGUCUGUAGGAGGUGUGUCCAGGGUGCAAAGGAUGCACCAAGGGCAGGGAAGCCCAAGGGACAUGCACCGAAAUAGAUAACCUCAUUGGUCACAAGGUCACAUGGUUUUAAGGGAUAAGAAGGAGCGCCAGGUUUGAAUAAACCUCUUUGAUUGCCAUCUCAUCGAGGAGUUGAGUCCAUUUAUUUAUUAUAUAAAGACUCCACGCUAUAACUGUCUGUCCAGAGCAAAGAUGCAUUAUUUUUCUCUCUGUGAAAGAUAAGUAAAUCUCCACCUUUUUCCCAACUUGAAAGUAUUUUAAUUUCCAGAACUGAGAAUAUUUUUUCGCACAUCUAAAAACAUAUGUCAGCUCUUGGAAUUAAUAAUGAAAGAAGAUGGUAAUUUUCUUUUUUUUUUCUUCCUUUUCAAUCUUCCAGUCAGAAGUUGUUUUUUUUCUCCUAAUACUUCUGCUGUGAACUGUGGGAAAUCAUGCACUAAGCCUCUGUCUUUUCUGUUUCCACCCCCUUCUUCACUGGGCUAAAGGUUUCUCUUGAGCCUGAUAUCCACCAUACAGCAUUGGUUUUAAUUCUUAUAGCUUGUUCAUUGUAGGAGUUUUUACAGACUGAAAGACAACCUUGGUUAUGCUUCUCAUUAUUUUCAUUUUUAUUUUGAGUACUAGCUAACCUGCUCCUAAUGAAGCAGAACUAUAAGCUUCAUUAAUGCUUAAUAAAAGUUUUAUUUUUUUGUUUGUUUGUUUCUUUUUGUUUUCUGCAGUGGUUUGAAAUUCUGUAGAUCUCUCUUUGUCAGUCUUGCCCACUGCAAGCUUGGAAUGGGAGUGAACUCUGCUUUUCCCUUGGCUCCAUUUCCCCAGGGAUUCUUGCUUGUGCAAAAGAGCCUGUACUUGGAAGGGCUCCAGACUUGCUGCACCAUUCAUGGCUUCUGAUUCCUGGCUCUCCCUUAAGGCGACGCAAGCUCUGGGCAGGCACUAGAGCACUUUUAAUGCCUCCUUGGCCCACAUACACAGUGGUAGAAUAUGUUUUGGAAGGAAAAUGGUGUGCUCGUUGUCAAUAUGUGUCCUGCUUUGGAAAACAUCCCGUGAUAUCACACACCUCAUUCUUCUUUUGUAUGUGGUCACUACCAAUCCUCAUUCUUAAAGUUCUCACUUUCAUUCAUCAACCACCGUAAAGUAUUGUUUCCACUUGGAACAUUUUGUGUCUUUGAAAGUGUUUUUAGAGCUGUUUUCUGCAAUGGUUUGAUAUUUUGGUGUGAUGUAAAUAAAGGCAGCUAUUCACCAGUGCAACACGUAUAUUGAAGCACAUUGAUGUGGCCCCAACACAGUGGGAAUGCUGCAUGAAGUUCUUUCAGUAUUUAAGUCCAGUGCAUCUGACUGAGUUUUAAAAGCAAUAUGCAGUGAGGCAUGGCUACUUCCUCUACUGUGAUGUUGUUCUGUAGGGUCAUUCAAGACCAUGUUCACAAGGCCUGAUUCCUGGAUAUCAGUACAGAACAAGCUCAACACAAAGGGAAAUAAGAAAUUAACUUUUAAGUAUUUCCUUACAUUAUUUUUGUGCUAAAUCUAUUUACUCCUACUUUGUUUUAAUUAUCAAAACACUAAUUUUUUUUUAAUGUUUGCACAGUAGAGGGAGCUGGAAGUUUAAAAUAUGUAUUCAGUGUGUAACUGUUGCCUGUAAAGAUGAGAAAUGUCAGUGGAAUAACAAAUGAGGUUUUAGCAUUACAGGAAGAUGAUGGACAUUUAUUCAAAGCCAUUAAGUUAAAUGAGUCAGAGGAUUUUAAGUCAGUGGUGUUACUGGUCUUACCUGGGAGCACUACCAUGAGACAGCAGAGGCUGCCCAGCCAUAUACUUUGCAGCUGAUUUUAUUAAACUACAGCUGGUAUUGGCUCCUUGAUGCUGUUUGUGUUCAGAAAUACUCAUUUAUUGGAAAAAUUUAAAUAUAUAUAUUUCAGUUACCUUUUAACUAAAUAAUCUUUCCAGAUUCUGUAAAUGUUGAGGGUUUUUUUCUCCAUCUUUGUAUUUUAGUUGCUGUCAAACUCAUUUCAGCUGAGUCUGAGAUUCAGUCCAUUGGAGCUGCCAGUAUAAAGGCACAUGUACUUGCCCUUGAGCCUAUUUCUAUGAACACAAUCUUCUCCCAUCUCCAUUAGACUAAACUAUUUAUGGAAAACCCAUUUUGAUAAAACCAGGCAAGGGAGAGGGUGCAUGUUUAGCUGGUCUGUUAGAGUUGGAAGAAAGUGUUAUCUCUUGCCAUCCCAGAGCUCCAGGCACCGUGCACAUGCUAAUGAAAAGUCCCUCAGUCAGUGUUUAUUUUCAAUGCACAUGACAAUCAUCAAGAAACCCUCUAAAAAAAAGCCCUGUUUUCCUCACUGUCCUUUGACUGCGUUAGAAAAAUUGCCUACCUGGCAGCAACUCUAUCUGAUCCUGCCAUUUCAGAGGCAUCUCUGACCACAUGCAGAGAAAUACAGAGCAGUACGUCUACUCUGGUGAGGGUAGAACUUCUUUUAAGCAAUUCACCUGGGGCUCAGCUGCUUUCUUAACUGCAGAGAGGGUCCAGCUUAACUUGGUGCCAUUUGGGGCACAUCUGCUGCAUGGCCUCUGCUGGGUGGGAGCAGCAGAGUAUAGCAGAGGAGGUGAGGAGACCUCAACACACGGCUUGGGCACAUCAUUAUACCACAUCUGACCAAAGCUGCAAUGAUGUCUGGAGGUGUGAGUUCUUGUGGUUCUUACAGUUGGAGGAGAUUAAUUUUUCCUUCAUAUCCCUUGUCUGGGAAUUAGAGAGAUCUAGUGGUAAUGUAAGUGUACAAAGGUGUCUACAAAAGGCAGAUGAGGAACAGCUUUGAAGGAUCUUUUAAGUGAAGACAGGAAAUCCGAAAAAACAAAUUUAAAGCAGUAGGACUUCCUUAUUGUGGUGAGCUGGUGGGAGUGCCUGACACUGACAGCAAAAAUGUUUAUUGUGAAUUGAGUUAAUACAGGAUGUGACAGAAUGAGAGCUCUAGCUGCAUGGACAGUCACAUCUCAGGCAAGGGGAGAGAAAGGCACAGAAAAGAUCAACACUUUGAUUUGUGAGCUUAAAGAUGAACUUAAAUUUGUAAGUGGCACUUUGGAAACAGAAUAUGGCACUUUUAUAUCAGAUCUGUGCUGUUGUUACCUGUAUGAUUCAAAGAGAUGGCUUUAUAAGCAAUUAUUUAAUCACAGUAUAUCAUUUACUCUGCUGUUUCUUUGCAGGUGACUGCAGGAAUGACAGUUUAGGCUGUUACCACAGGGUGUCUCUCCUUGGUAGAGUUUGGCAUUCUAUCUGCUAUGACCCAUAUAGUUUUCCCCGCUGAUAAUUACUUUCUCUUAUCUGGUCAAGAAAAUUCCCUUCAAAGGAUUUCUUUGAUUGAGGAAAUUCAUUAAUAUGAUCUUGAGAUAAUAUUAAUGCUUCUUUGCUUGAGUCUUCUCAGUUACUGUUUGAACAGCACAUUUUUCCGUAGUUUAUUAAGGAAGAUUAGCAUCUUUUGAAGUGUACUUUAAUGGAAGACCUUCUAUCAAUUAAUUAAUAUUUUCUAGGUUCCAGAAAAAAAAAGCAGUUGAGAAAAGUGAAUCUGUGUAUUAUUAUUGCAGGAAACAUCUGUGCCCACCUCUUAACAUAGAUUUAUGUAAUCCCUUGGGAGUGUUCACCCAAGGAACGAUCUCGUGCUCAGGCUUCCUGAACCCAUCUCACAAACUGUCAUACUCAUAAUCAGCAAAACAGGUAAAUGAAAGAAAUGUUCAGAAAAUUAAGGUCCUUUUGGCUCUACGAGGAGCAGUUAAAAGGUGUGCUUGUUAAUAGUUCCCACGAGAUGGCUCCCGAGGUACAGAAGUGAUGCAGUGCCCAGCAUGGAUUAGGUUCAUGUCCCGCAACUCUAUCAUGUCUUAAAACACAAAACUAUAACUUUAGCCCAGACUCCACCGAGGAUAAACAUUACCAUAGGGAGCACAUACACCGAGAGCGGUGGUAUAUAACGUGCCUGUGAGCACGUAUGCAAAUGAAAUAACAUGGUGACCAGCCACUACUAAACCAAUACAAUUGUUGCUUAUAAUUAAUUUGUUUUAACAUGCUCUGAUCAGGUCUGUUUUUAUCUCAAUCCUCCGGCCCCUAUGUUGGGCACCAAAAAUGUCUGUCAUUGUUUAACUGCAGCCCUAACUAAGUACCACACAGCUGCUACCUCACUACCCUUGCCCCAGUGGAGAGGAGAAUUGGAAAGACUAGAUGAAUGCAAUUUUUCUCACAAGCUCAGUCAUACGCCUUUACUUUAUUCAGAAUUAGAAUAGCAAUGUUCUGAAGAGUAGAAAAAAAAAUGAACAAAGUUGGUUCCAACAGAGGAAGAGCUGAGAUAUAUGUGCAGAAGACAGAACAAAUUUAAACUAUUUGGAGAUGUUUGAGACACAUUUUCUCAAAUGAGAGUUGUGGUCACUUGGCACACUGAGAUAUUCUCUGUCAUUUGAGUGCUGCAUUUUUCCACGGAAUGGAAAUUUAUGGGAUUUCUCAUUUAAGAAGUGUCCUAGGACCUGUCUUGCUCAGCCCUAAAGCCAGUCUUUCAUGCAUCUGGGAAGGACCAUUAUUCUGUUUUCAUGGUGGGUUUAUGUUGCUGUCUCACCAAUCUCUGUGGAGUCAGCUGAAUUCCAAUGGUUAUAAAAUGAUCCUUCAGGUGGCUGUAAGACUACUGGUAACACAAUCCUAUAAUAUCUCAGACUUCAACUCUGUAAG
Corapipo altera (White-ruffed manakin) is the source of this 5575-nucleotide long non-coding RNA. RefSeq lists it as uncharacterized. The record is from RefSeq and is a predicted model, not a curated record. The transcript has 5 exons. Lineage: Eukaryota; Metazoa; Chordata; Aves; Passeriformes; Pipridae.